CAGCCCUAAACGAUGCGCGUUAGGUGUAUCGGUGACCACGAGUCACCGAGGUGCCGAAGGGAAACCGUGAAACGUGCCGCCUGGGAAGUACGGUCGCAAGGCUGAAACUUAAAGGAAUUGGCGGGGGAGCACCACGACGGGUGGAACCUGCGGUUUAAUUGGACUCAACGCCGGAAAACUCACCGGGGGCGACAGCAAUAUGUAGGUCAAGCUAAAGACUUUACCAGAAUCGCUGAGAGGAGGUGCAUGGCGUAGA
This 256-nucleotide ribosomal RNA is filed under the name uncultured archaeon. Its description in RNAcentral is "partial 16S ribosomal RNA". It matches the Rfam family "Archaeal small subunit ribosomal RNA", at positions 748 to 1004 of the family's 1478-position model. The record is from RNAcentral.